CCUACGGGUGGCAGCAGUGAGGAAUAUUGGUCAAUGGGCGAGAGCCUGAACCAGCCAAGCCGCGUGAAGGAUGAAGGAACAGUGGUUUGUAAACUUCUUUUAUAUGGGAAUAAAGUGAGGAACGUGUUCCCUUUUGUAUGUACCAUAUGAAUAAGCAUCGGCUAACUCCGUGCCAGCAGCCGCGGUAAUACGGAGGAUGCGAGCGUUAUCCGGAUUUAUUGGGUUUAAAGGGUGCGUAGGUGGUUAAUUAAGUCAGCGGUGAAAGUUUGUGGCUCAACCAUACACUUGCCGUUGAAACUGGUUGUCUUGAGUAUAUUUGAGGUAGGCGGAAUGCGUGGUGUAGCGGUGAAAUGCAUAGAUAUCACGCAGAACUCCGAUUGCGAAGGCAGCUUACUAACCUCUAACUGACACUGAGGCACGAAAGCGUGGGGAUCAAACAGGAUUAGAUACCCCAGUAGUC
Molecule: ribosomal RNA, 460 nt
Filed under: uncultured bacterium
Lineage: Bacteria
Description: partial 16S ribosomal RNA
Rfam family: Bacterial small subunit ribosomal RNA
Source: RNAcentral